RNAcentral lists this ribosomal RNA (253 nucleotides) under uncultured bacterium. Its description in RNAcentral is "partial 16S ribosomal RNA". It matches the Rfam family "Bacterial small subunit ribosomal RNA", at positions 524 to 776 of the family's 1533-position model. The record is from RNAcentral.
UACGUAGGGGGCAAGCGUUGUCCGGAUUUAUUGGGCGUAAAGAGCGUGUAGGCGGCCAGGUAGGUCUGCUGUGAAAACUCGAGGCUUAACCUCGAGCUGUCGGCGGAAACCAUCUGGCUAGAGUCCGGAAGAGGAGAAUGGAAUUCCCAGUGUAGUGGUGAAAUACGUAGAGAUUGGGAAGAACACCAGUGGCGAAGGCGGCUAUCUGGACGGUUUCUGACGCUAAGACGCGAAAGCGUGGGGAGCAAACAGG